UACGAAGGGGGCUAGCGUUGUUCGGAAUUACUGGGCGUAAAGCGCGCGCAGGCGGUCUUCCAAGUCAGUGGUGAAAGCCCGGAGCUCAACUCCGGAACUGCCAUUGAAACUGUUAGACUUGAGGAUGAGAGAGGUGAGUGGAAUUCCCAGUGUAGAGGUGAAAUUCGUAGAUAUUGGAAGAACACCGGUGGCGAAGGCGGCUCACUGGCUCAUACUGACGCUGAGGUGCGAAGCGUGGGAGCAAACAGG
This 249-nucleotide ribosomal RNA is filed under the name uncultured bacterium. RNAcentral's name for it is "partial 16S ribosomal RNA". It matches the Rfam family "Bacterial small subunit ribosomal RNA", at positions 524 to 776 of the family's 1533-position model. The record is from RNAcentral.